CAUAGGUUAAUGAGGCGAACCGGGGGAACUGAAACAUCUAAGUACCCCGAGGAAAAGAAAUCAACCGAGAUUCCCCCAGUAGCGGCGAGCGAACGGGGAGCAGCCCAGAGCCUGAAUCAGUGUGUGUGUUAGUGGAAGCGUCUGGAAAGGCGCGCGAUACAGGGUGACAGCCCCGUACACAAAAAUGCACAUAUUGUGAGCUCGAUGAGUAGGGCGGGACACGUGGUAUCCUGUCUGAAUAUGGGGGGACCAUCCUCCAAGGCUAAAUACUCCUGACUGACCGAUAGUGAACCAGUACCGUGAGGGAAAGGCGAAAAGAACCCCGGCGAGGGGAGUGAAAAAGAACCUGAAACCGUGUACGUACAAGCAGUGGGAGCACGCUUAGGCGUGUGACUGCGUACCUUUUGUAUAAUGGGUCAGCGACUUAUAUUCUGUAGCAAGGUUAACCGAAUAGGGGAGCCGAAGGGAAACCGAGUCUUAACUGGGCGUUAAGUUGCAGGGUAUAGACCCGAAACCCGGUGAUCUAGCCAUGGGCAGGUUGAAGGUUGGGUAACACUAACUGGAGGACCGAACCGACUAAUGUUGAAAAAUUAGCGGAUGACUUGUGGCUGGGGGUGAAAGGCCAAUCAAACCGGGAGAUAGCUGGUUCUCCCCGAAAGCUAUUUAGGUAGCGCCUCGUGAAUUCAUCUCCGGGGGUAGAGCACUGUUUCGGCAAGGGGGUCAUCCCGACUUACCAACCCGAUGCAAACUGCGAAUACCGGAGAAUGUUAUCACGGGAGACACACGGCGGGUGCUAACGUCCGUCGUGAAGAGGGAAACAACCCAGACCGCCAGCUAAGGUCCCAAAGUCAUGGUUAAGUGGGAAACGAUGUGGGAAGGCCCAGACAGCCAGGAUGUUGGCUUAGAAGCAGCCAUCAUUUAAAGAAAGCGUAAUAGCUCACUGGUCGAGUCGGCCUGCGCGGAAGAUGUAACGGGGCUAAACCAUGCACCGAAGCUGCGGCAGCGACGCUUAUGCGUUGUUGGGUAGGGGAGCGUUCUGUAAGCCUGUGAAGGUGUGCUGUGAGGCAUGCUGGAGGUAUCAGAAGUGCGAAUGCUGACAUAAGUAACGAUAAAGCGGGUGAAAAGCCCGCUCGCCGGAAGACCAAGGGUUCCUGUCCAACGUUAAUCGGGGCAGGGUGAGUCGACCCCUAAGGCGAGGCCGAAAGGCGUAGUCGAUGGGAAACAGGUUAAUAUUCCUGUACUUGGUGUUACUGCGAAGGGGGGACGGAGAAGGCUAUGUUGGCCGGGCGACGGUUGUCCCGGUUUAAGCGUGUAGGCUGGUUUUCCAGGCAAAUCCGGAAAAUCAAGGCUGAGGCGUGAUGACGAGGCACUACGGUGCUGAAGCAACAAAUGCCCUGCUUCCAGGAAAAGCCUCUAAGCAUCAGGUAACAUCAAAUCGUACCCCAAACCGACACAGGUGGUCAGGUAGAGAAUACCAAGGCGCUUGAGAGAACUCGGGUGAAGGAACUAGGCAAAAUGGUGCCGUAACUUCGGGAGAA
Molecule: ribosomal RNA, 1538 nt
Filed under: Escherichia coli
Lineage: Bacteria; Pseudomonadati; Pseudomonadota; Gammaproteobacteria; Enterobacterales; Enterobacteriaceae
Description: partial 23S ribosomal RNA
Rfam family: Bacterial large subunit ribosomal RNA
Source: RNAcentral